GCCGCUGCCCCCCUCCCCCCGCCCCCGCAAGGCCACCAGGUGCUGUGAGGCCGCGCUCAGAUGGCCUGUCCCUGUGCUCAUGGCAGGAUCAGUCCCCAGAGCAGUGUGGGGGCAGCGCCCCCAGUGUCCCCGAAGGAGAGUGCUGCAGGGCGGGCACCUUCCUGACCACCAACACCUGCGCCUGGAAUAAUCCUACUCCACACGUGCUUGUGGAACGAGGAGGGCGAGACAGAGGAGGAAGGAAUCAGCAGCCACUUCCACACGCGCCCCCGCAGGAGCGGGCCCAGGAGUGCCCCUCCCUCCUCGUGGCCUGGGGCAGGUGGCUGGGGUAGCCCGGAAGUCUCCCCCCAACACCUGAGCAGGUGGAGUUGAGAGGGACUCAGACUUGAUUUGAGCAGCUGGCAGCCUCCCGCCGUGGGGACCUGUGAGGACAAGUGGCUGCUCCCGGGAUUCCUGUGCACAGGCUGUGCCCGUCUGCCUGGCAGAGCAAAGGAGGGCUUGGGGGUCUCGCCGGAGUCCUAGGCUGGGGCGGGGCUGCCGCCUGAACUCGGGGGUGCGCCUCGAAGGUCUUCGGAUCUGGGGUCAGUGCUGAAGCUGGUUCUGUGUCAGACGCAGCCAGGAAGUCACUGAAACCUGACUGCCGGCUUCCAGAAGAUGCUCCAUCCUGUGGGUCCCCGCUGACCCCCUCCACCAGC
Long non-coding RNA from Hyaena hyaena (striped hyena), 695 nucleotides. RefSeq lists it as uncharacterized. Lineage: Eukaryota; Metazoa; Chordata; Mammalia; Carnivora; Hyaenidae. The transcript has 3 exons. The record is from RefSeq and is a predicted model, not a curated record.